AGCGGAUGACGGGAGCUUGCUCCUUGAUUCAGCGGCGGACGGGUGAGUAAUGCCUAGGAAUCUGCCUGGUAGUGGGGGACAACGUUUCGAAAGGAACGCUAAUACCGCAUACGUCCUACGGGAGAAAGCAGGGGACCUUCGGGCCUUGCGCUAUCAGAUGAGCCUAGGUCGGAUUAGCUAGUUGGUGGGGUAAUGGCUCACCAAGGCGACGAUCCGUAACUGGUCUGAGAGGAUGAUCAGUCACACUGGAACUGAGACACGGUCCAGACUCCUACGGGAGGCAGCAGUGGGGAAUAUUGGACAAUGGGCGAAAGCCUGAUCCAGCCAUGCCGCGUGUGUGAAGAAGGUCUUCGGAUUGUAAAGCACUUUAAGUUGGGAGGAAGGGCAGUAAGCUAAUACCUUGCUGUUUUGACGUUACCGACAGAAUAAGCACCGGCUAACUCUGUGCCAGCAGCCGCGGUAAUACAGAGGGUGCAAGCGUUAAUCGGAAUUACUGGGCGUAAAGCGCGCGUAGGU
This 516-nucleotide ribosomal RNA is filed under the name Pseudomonas plecoglossicida. Its description in RNAcentral is "bacterial SSU rRNA". It matches the Rfam family "Bacterial small subunit ribosomal RNA", at positions 65 to 576 of the family's 1533-position model. Lineage: Bacteria; Pseudomonadati; Pseudomonadota; Gammaproteobacteria; Pseudomonadales; Pseudomonadaceae. The record is from RNAcentral.